GUGCUUGCUUCAGCAGCACAUAUGCUAAAAUUGAAACAAUAUAGAGAAGAUUAUGAUGGCUCUUGUGCAAGGAUGACAUGCAAAUCCAUGAAGCCUUCAAUAUUUUU
Ochotona princeps (American pika) is the source of this 107-nucleotide small nuclear RNA. Lineage: Eukaryota; Metazoa; Chordata; Mammalia; Lagomorpha; Ochotonidae. The record is from Ensembl.